Molecule: ribosomal RNA, 305 nt
Filed under: uncultured bacterium
Lineage: Bacteria
Description: bacterial SSU rRNA
Rfam family: Bacterial small subunit ribosomal RNA
Source: RNAcentral
AUACGCCUACGGGGGGCAGCAGUGGGGAAUAUUGGGCAAUGGAGGAAACUCUUACCCAGCAAUGCCGCGUGAAUGAAGAAGGUCUUCGGAUUGUAAAGUUCUUUAAUUGGGGACGAAAAAAAUGACGGUACCCAAGGAAUAAGCCCCGGCUAACUACGUGCCGGCAGCCGCGGUAAUACGUAGGUGGCGAGCGUUGUCCGGAAUUACUGGGUGUAAAGGGAGCGUAGGCGGGAGAGCAAGUCGACUGUGAAAUCUAUGGGCUUAACCCAUAGCUGCGAUCGAAACUGUUCAUCUUGAGUGAAGUA